UUCGUCCUUGUCCUCACUUUUAGUCAUUGCGUGCUUAUAGUUCUUGAAUCGGAUUCAGUACCAAAGCAGAGUCGACCGGCUUCUUUCGACGCGCUUGUAUUCUCCUCUGCCUUGAAAAAAUCUAACCAAUGUUGAUGCCUCCCGCUGAAUUGGGGAUGAAGAGGCCUGAAGUGUGGUGUAUGAAUGGCUAUGGAGGUUUUUGAUCAAUUCGUGGCCAGACGGGACCAUCACUACAAUUUGUUGGACUAUUUCCGCUGGUACUACUUUGUUUUAAAUGAAAUUCUCCUCAAAAUUCCUUUCAAAUGGAAUAUCAAUAUGAAGAAUAAAAGCAAGACCAAUGUAUUUUAUACAUCUUUGCCUCUGGUGGUACAAAUUGCUCUGCUAUCAGAUAGGCAUCUGAAUACUCGGAUAUGAUAUGUGGGUAUUCUUCUUUAUCUUAUCCUGUUAGUGGGUGAUAUUCUGCUGUUAUACUGCCUAUUUGUUGUUUUUCUGUCUCGUAAAUGUCUUUUAAUUCAUAAUAGUUCCCACAGCUGCUUAGAUAAUGUAUAGAUGGGAUCGUCUGAGGUUCACUGAGGCAUCAAAGAUUGUAAUUCUAAAUACAAAGUACUAACAAUAUUUAGUGGGUCACGAUUUUUAUUUUCUUAAUAGUUUUUGUGAUCUUCCUCCUGGUCCUUACUCUUUUGUUUCCUUCGUAUGGCUUUUAAGGUCAGAGGCAUUUAGAGGCAUUACUUAUACCAAACCGAUCCCUUAAAGAGCUUUUCCUCUAGUCGAGAGAAACGCGAAUGUUUAUACUUGUGAUUGUGGUGAGGCAACAACAUCUAUGGAACUUUCCUCUUCCAGCAUAUUUUGAGCUCCUAUAUCCAGUGCCCUUGUAGUUAUAGCAUUUUUUCUUUUUCACUUUGCUCAAUUUUAAAAAACUCUUCCAUGAAAUCAAUGAAUGACAUAACUUUCAAACUUCUGACUUCUUAAUCAUUUUCCGUUCCUCAAUUUAAAAAAGUCUUACACGAAACAAUUGAAUGACGUAAAUUUCAACAUUCUGGCUUCAUAGCCUUUUUCCCUUUACUUUAAAAAUCUUCCACGAAAUGAUCGAAGGAUAUAACUCUAAAAACUCUGGCUGUAUGCUAUUUCAUACCAAAAUUUCAGCUUGAAUACUGCUGUGGCGCCAAACAUUUAAUUGGACCACAGGUUUCUCGCACCAAUUUAUGUGUUGCCAUUUCUAGGCACUCUUCUCGUUGGUAUCCAUUGGAAAAUUAAAUUAAAGAGUCAUCCAUUGCAAGAGGAACAACUCUCCUUCUCUCUCUCUCUCCGCCCCCCCGCCCCCCGUUCAAAUUUGCUUUUAUUGCUUAUCGUUUCAAGUACAUUCUGCAUCGUUGACAGUUUACUCGGACAGGUUCAGGUGCUUCGUUUUCAUACGAGAAGUUAUCAAUUGCUCCAAUUCAGAAAGGAGAAGGUGGCUGAUCCACGUCUAUUCAUGAUGGUAAAUUUGACCCAAUUGCAGGGUGUUUUGGAAGAAACCAUAUCUUUGGACUGGCGAAAAUCAACAGCUUGUCCAACUUCGUGGCUAUAAAAUCCCAAGUUUUGGCCCAACAUCAGCACAGCUGGCCAUCCCUACCGUAUACGACUCUCAUAAUUGUUCAUGAGACUGAUGUUUAACAUCUUACUUGAAUUCUCUUAAUUAUUGAGCAUUAAUUAUUGACUAAUUAAGUCAUAUUUAGGAAUGCACAUGAAUCUUUGUAAUACCACAUUAAUUUGGAAAUCAUGUAUAUGUCCUAUUAAUUUGUAUUCAUUCUUAGUAAUAUUUGUGGUAGUGGCAACUUCAACGUGGUAAGUUGUAUUGUAACCAUUCUCCUCUUAUCCGAAGAUAUAUCUUUUGUCUCUCUUAA
This is a long non-coding RNA of Cucumis melo (muskmelon), 1883 nucleotides long. RefSeq lists it as uncharacterized. The record is from RefSeq and is a predicted model, not a curated record. Lineage: Eukaryota; Viridiplantae; Streptophyta; Magnoliopsida; Cucurbitales; Cucurbitaceae. The transcript has 3 exons.